AAGGAUAUAUACGGAACAGUUUCAACAGAAACUGACGGAUUAACGUGACAUAUUGUAUUCAGUUUUGAAUGCUCAUUCGAGUAUUCAUGAUUGUACCUUGAAAACUAGAUAAGUAAGUAAUAAAUAGAUUUUACCAAGCAAAACCGAGUGAAUUAGAGUUUUAAAAGCUUUAUUCAUUUAAAUGAAUCGCUAGUAAUCGAUUUGCCGAUGGCAAAGAAGAUUACUCACAUAAUUAAUAACGU
This 242-nucleotide unclassified non-coding RNA is filed under the name Staphylococcus carnosus. Its description in RNAcentral is "16S-23S ribosomal RNA intergenic spacer". Lineage: Bacteria; Bacillati; Bacillota; Bacilli; Caryophanales; Staphylococcaceae. The record is from RNAcentral.